RNAcentral lists this transfer RNA (74 nucleotides) under Loxodonta africana (African savanna elephant). It matches the Rfam family "tRNA". From Rfam's summary of the family: Transfer RNA (tRNA) molecules are approximately 80 nucleotides in length. Their secondary structure includes four short double-helical elements and three loops (D, anti-codon, and T loops). Further hydrogen bonds mediate the characteristic L-shaped molecular structure. tRNAs have two regions of fundamental functional importance: the anti-codon, which is responsible for specific mRNA codon recognition, and the 3' end, to which the tRNAs corresponding amino acid is attached (by aminoacyl-tRNA synthetases). tRNAs cope with the degeneracy of the genetic code in two manners: having more than one tRNA (with a specific anti-codon) for a particular amino acid; and 'wobble' base-pairing, i.e. permitting non-standard base-pairing at the 3rd anti-codon position. The record is from Rfam by way of RNAcentral. Lineage: Eukaryota; Metazoa; Chordata; Mammalia; Proboscidea; Elephantidae.
CCCUGGGUGGUGUAAAUGGUUAAUAUGCUCAACUGCUGACUGAAAAGUUGGAGGUUUGAGUCCUCCCAAAGGUA